RNAcentral lists this long non-coding RNA (1018 nucleotides) under Anser cygnoides (Swan goose). RNAcentral's name for it is "lncRNA (ENSACDG00005009714.1)". Lineage: Eukaryota; Metazoa; Chordata; Aves; Anseriformes; Anatidae. The record is from RNAcentral.
CCCCCAUCCCAGAGAGGGAGGGGGGAGGGUGAGCGAACGGCUGUGUGGUGUUUAGCUGCCAGCCGGGUUAAACCACAACAGGUGGCGGUAGAGGAACACGUGGGGGAAGGUCAGGUGGUGGAGGAGCAGGUGGAGGAUGAUCUGGGGGAAGAGGAGGAGGAAGAGGAGGAAAAGGAGGAGGACGACGACGACAAUGAUGAUGAUGACGACAACAACAAGAAGGAGGACGAGGAGUUGGAAAAGGUCGUGGAGCAGGAGAAGGAGGAGGCGGCAGCAGUGGUGGUGGUGGAGGAGGAGGCGGCAGUGGUGGCGGUGGAGGAGCGCACGGGGGAAGAGCAGGAAAUGCUAGUCGGGCUCAACUGACUGGACAGCAGACACAUGCUAAUUGAGUCCCAUGCAUCCUCAUGGUGUCAGCUCUACUUGACGGAUAUGCAGCAACUGUGAUGGAUGAGUGUCUGAAACCACCCUAGCAUCCAACAUGCAGCAGUCCAGCUGGAACAGCUAUGCAGGACCCAUUGCCAGACUUGCAGCCACUUGUGUCUACUAGAUACACUUAAAAAUCCUGCAGUUUAAGUAAGUUUGAAAUUCUGGAUGCCAAAACAAAGCUUCUCUGGGGAAAUCUAGGCAUGUGACAACAGGUGAGGAAGAAAGAAAAACAUUUUUUCAGUGGUUGUGGUGACCACUGUUGCCAGUGUUUAUGCAAAUGCCCACACAGAUUAGACUGGGAACUUCUCUGCUAUAUCUAUGAUUAUAUACCUUCACUCUGAUUAUAUGUUCUUUUUCUUUUCCUUUCCAGAAACACACACACACAUGAAUACAAGUGCACACAUUGACAACUGAUAACACUGAGCCAUCUCCCCUCAGGAAGAAUGAAGCCAGAUUCAUCCCUUCUCUCUCAAGUAUGCAUAAAGAUCUGCUGAUCCUAUUUGGACAUCUUCAGAGCUCUACAGCUAGCCCUUUCAUGCCUCAGAGCCUAUCCUGCCUCGCAAUAAAUGCUGCUGUGGAGGUUUGUGUUCCA